This 1061-nucleotide long non-coding RNA is filed under the name Eucalyptus grandis. Its description in RNAcentral is "long non-coding RNA (EGRA_LNC002560)". Lineage: Eukaryota; Viridiplantae; Streptophyta; Magnoliopsida; Myrtales; Myrtaceae. The record is from RNAcentral.
AACCUUAUGUAAACAAAACCUCUUCGGUGACAAUUCUGUACAGUCGAAAUUUAGCUGGAAUUCCAAUGAGAAAUCUCGCUAAUAGUUCGAAAAGAUAUCGAAAUUCAGCUCAAAAUGUAAAAUAUGAUUUCUCUUCAAAUUUCAAUAAACAUAUCUUCUAUAGAACAAUGUCUACUAUACGCCCUUCACCAAAUUAAAAGAAAGAGCAGAAGAUCACUAUGAACUGCAAAACUUUGCAUCACAAAAGACCAGCUCUUGGCGUCAGAAGAUCAAGACGCUGGCCGAUCAAUUAUGUAGAGGGUUUGGCCCGCCGGGCGUGGUUCUCAUGGAGGCGCCGAAGACCGGGUCGGCGUCGCGGUCCCCACUCGAUCCAACAGUGCCUUUAGCCAAGAGAUGCAACCGCAGCGAGUGCUCAAACUGGGAGCGAAAAUCCGGCCUCGUGGAGCGGUGCUUGAGAUGCUCUUCUCGACGAAGAUCACCUGCGAAUCCACGGAUGUUUCGGCAACUCGAGAGCCGAGAAACGAACAGUAGCGUCAUCAAGAAGAGAAAUGGCAGCUUCCUGCUAUGUGUUCUCAUGAUCUUCUUUUCUGAAGUGAUUGAUCUAUGAAAGAAGACAGAAGAAAGGAUGUGGACAGACAACGAACCGAAAGAAGGAAGUUCCGGGUCAGUGCUAUAACGGGCAAAGCAUCUCCAAGUUCAAGCCCUUUAAAACGAGAUCAGGCAGAUGGGAGUCAGUGGUGUGGAAGCAGCCAAAAGCCCGCAACUUGUUCCGCGCGCGAUGACGGAAAGCACCCCCGCGCGCCGAGGCGUUUCGAGAAGUCAAAGGCCAUUGUCGUCCUUCCGCUGCUAAACUACCGGUUCGUUUCAAAAGCCGAGACGCGGUUGUUCAAGCGUUAUCGUCCGUUGACUUCCCAUUAAAGAUGGGAUUGGACGCCCCUUGCGCGUGAUCGGUCUGUACUUUUCUGCAAUGAAGUUAGGGGAGGUGAAGGCUUGGGAUUCCGUCGGAAGAGGAAGACGCGGCGAGGCGGCGGCGACAGGUGGCGCAGCACAUGAUCCCUGCG